AAAAACGAUGAAGAAAUUAGACCAAGUUCGGAGGAGACAAUCAGGUUGAAAUUAAGUCUCCGCCAGGAAAAUUGAUCUGGGCAGCGUGGAAUCUGGAAACCCGGCCUAGCUUUGGCCUUUGAGCUUGAUGGUCAUAUUCACAAGGAUAUGUUUGUAAUUCAAGAGAAGGGUGAGGGUAUCCUUUUUUUUUUUAUAAACAAACUAAUCUUAUAUUUGCCAGAUCAGAGCCGCAAACGCGGAGAUUCGCAGUUGGCGCCCACGCUCAUCUCAUCUUUGCUCUAUUCCUAAACAAGCUGUUGCUUUCUUGCUUACUGCUCUGUGCAAGGGAAUAAGCCCACUUAGCAUGGGAAACAAGCCUGUGGCUGUGAAACAAGAAAGGGAGGAGAUUCUCUUGAAAAUCGUGCCUCCUGUUGAUCGUGCUUACAGUCGAUGGCUUGCUCGAGAUCUUGAGAUGAUUCAUGGCUUUACUUUGAGAAAUUGCUGUGCAGUGAAGCCACCAGAUCAUUAUAUAGAAUACAUGCGCUUAAAUGGAUGGUUGGACGUGGACUUGGAUGAUCCUGAUCUGGCCCAUUUAUUUCAAAGCAAAUAAUGUUUUCAAUGGAAUUAUUGUUAUAUUACAUAGGACCUUCACAUGCAGAGUCUACGCACUUGCUAAAGGGAGUAAUUUGUCAUAAAGAAAAGCGGAAGGUUGCUAUCCCCAAACAAUGACAAGUCUUCUGUGUAUGUGUAUCAAAAUCCAGCUAUUCUGCAAGUGCUUGAUCAUUAAAGCCUAUUUAUCGAAUGGCUAUAUAUUUAUAUGCA
This 801-nucleotide unclassified non-coding RNA is filed under the name Hevea brasiliensis (rubber tree). The record is from RNAcentral. Lineage: Eukaryota; Viridiplantae; Streptophyta; Magnoliopsida; Malpighiales; Euphorbiaceae.